This is a long non-coding RNA of Stomoxys calcitrans (stable fly), 2743 nucleotides long. RefSeq lists it as uncharacterized. The record is from RefSeq and is a predicted model, not a curated record. The transcript has 2 exons. NCBI's taxonomy places the organism in Eukaryota, Metazoa, Arthropoda, Insecta, Diptera, Muscidae.
AAAAGAGCACUCUUUUAAAUUUAUAAUUUUGUGGGCAAAUAUACUCACGCUAUUGCACAUCAUUUUACACGUGUACAAGAACAUAAGACCAUGGGCUUGGAAAAUUUAUGCACAUGUGUUAGUGCGCCCAAUACUGAUAUAUUUAUGUAAAUAAUCUUAAACUUGAAAAUAUAUCAUUUUAUAUUUUACUAUUUGUUUAAAUUUGCAUUUUGUUUACUGAAAACGGCUGGACUUCUGCCUCUACCGCACUGCGUUACGAUACGUUCUUUUUGUAAUUGGCUUUAUGAUAAUAAAUGAUUGGCAACGCCACAAGCUGCUACAAAACUGUGAAAAUAACAAUUUGGCUUAACAUGGGUUAUAUUUUUAACAAAGUCUAGUUAUAUAGAUUUCUUUUAUUAAAGUUGAGUACAGUGUUGUGGAAUUUGAAUGAAGUUCUACUAAGUUUUAGGCAAGUAUCCACAGUGAAGAUUUAUUUUAUUCGCAAAUUAAUACGGCCAGCAAAAAAAAUGCAUCUAGUGUGAAUGGUAAUCCCUGAAACAGAUGUCUACAAAAACCUGCGCUGACUUCAUUGGACUGGAUAAGUUGUAUUUCUAUAUUAUCGGAUCUUCGUGAAAUGACACAACCCCACUGCCGAAGAAUUCCUGAGUCCAGACAAAAAUUACCACAGCUUGUGAUGGGACACUUGUGUCUCAUUUUAAAACGUAAAAAACUAUGUGACAUAUUCUUUGAACUGUCAUGGGGAUUAUUUUGCAAAUCCGUUAAGUUCUCGUCGUCCUAAACUUUAGACCACCACCCUCGAUGCCAUUGUGUACAAAUACAAUAUGGAAGUCGCCAUUGUCGCAAUGCAAAGAAUAAAGAGAACGAACAAGCACGACGUUCGACAGCAAUCACGUACGCCACUAAAAACCAUCAUGGAUAACACAGGCCGCAGUCGCCGCCAAAGACAAACUCCCCCCAACUUCCUUUUCUACCACCACCUUCCGAACACAAGAGUUAACGAAUGCAUAAGGAAGGAAGAAGAAUAAAACGCAGUAAGGCUAACGCAGGAAAAGUGGGUGGUGGGAACUCAGCCAACCAACCAACCACCACUUGUAGAUAACGGCAAAAAAUCCGCCCUUAUUAACGCAAAAACAAACAAUCACACAUAUUUUAUAGCCAUCCACCCAUCCAUUCCGGGGGGUUGCGCUGGGUUAAAGAACUCUUAUCGUCACUCACUACAACGACAACGACUACUACUCCAUCUCACACCCCCCAUUCCAAACCAUCAUCCUUAACGGUUAUUUCAUCCCUUCUUCUAGCAGUUUGGGGAAAAAUAAAAUCUGCCUGGUCCCAUUCAGCUCCCCCAAAGGAGGAAUUAAAGCAACAAUAUGUUUUAAGCGGCCCAGACGUCAGCCACCGCCGCCGAACUGUUGAAUGCAGCAUUUGGAAACUUCAAAAGAAUAAUAAUAAUAAAACACAACAAAACCCAUGGAAAACUUUUGUAUAUUGAAAAACGAGAGAUUAGUGAGUCGUAGGAGAAGCAACAAGGACAAGCAAUUUUACACCAUAGCAGCAUGCAACACCUUGGAACCCAAAAACGGGCAACUACGCAAACGCAAUAAUAAGCUCUACGAAGAGUAAAAUUUCCACUCUUUACUGGGAUAUUUGAUACGGCACUCUUUUUAGCCUAGAAAAGCUAUUUACCUCAAAGCUACAGGUUGCAAAUGCAGACCUCAAAUCAACUCCCACCAAAUGGUGUUGGGGAGAGAAAAAAUGUUUCAUUUUCACAGAGAGCGCAACGGCAAUUAUGGUAUUUCCAAUGGCAUCAGCCGAAAGGAGAACCAACGGUUUAGCAUUUUAAUAGACUGAACCUGAAGAAGGAAGAAAUUGGCUUAAAAGCCAAAUACAUUAAAAAUGCUGUUGCUUUUACGCAUAUUUAUGUAGGCAACAAAAGUGUACAGACAGUGUAUGUAUGUAUGUAUGUGUGUUUGAGGAAAAUAGAGGAGAUAAUACCCAAGUACAUAAGGUACAUCCGCAUAUAAACAAACCACCACAUCCUGCAAAGGGACCAUUUUCAAAGGAUGUAUUAAAAAGUCCUACAGUUGAUGUGUAGCAGCAGCAGUGGCAAUAACCAAAAACAAGUCACACACUUGGAUUGUUUUAUUAUGAAUAAAUAAAAAGCUCUUCCUGCUAAAUGCUUUGUACUUUAACGUUGGCAGCACUGACACACAUCCGAAAUAAUCAAAUAUCAAUAAAGCCAACAAAUUAAAUCAUUUUACAAUUAAAUUAAUUUUUCGCGGAGUUCAUAAAUAAAAUUUUUAUUAAAAUCCAAAGCAAUUUUGCCAUUCCAGAACGUUAAAUCAUUGAAUAAAUCAAAUUGAAUGAUAAUACCACAUGUUUUAAUAAACGGCAAUAAGAUUAGCCUAACUAAUCGGAGAUAGCAUUUUUCCCCAUACAAACUAAGAGAGAAAAUCCGCUUAAUGGGUAAAAUAAACAGCUCUGCCAUAAGACUAAAUAGCAGGCUCAAGGUGUUAUGCACGUGCUGUUUUAAAACAACUACAAAUGAUUGCUGUAUUUUAGGCGCUUAUUUGUAAUAUUUGACUAAAAAAUUAACGGGUAACAAACCAACAUUAUCGCCGCUAAACAGAUAUUGUAGAAAUAUACCAAAAUAUAUACGAUGUAAAAAUUCAAAAAAGGAUUUAUAUAUUUUACACUUUUGUAGAAAUAUACCAAAAUAUAUACGAUGUAAAAAUUCAAAAGAGGA